CUGAACUGCAUGAAUGACCCUGUGAUUCAAAGCAGCAACCUCUGCACAUAAAAACUGCUAUCUGCUCCUCUCUUGACGUGUUGUCAGUCACCACCACAGCAAUGGCAAUACUUCUACCAACUUUACAAGAAAAAGAGCCAAAUCCAACAUACAGGAACUGAAUUCUGUGCUCAAUUAGAGUGAUUGUUUUGCACCUUUUUUUUUUUUUUAAUAUAUUGCUUUUGAUAAUAGACUAUUUUGCCAGAAUAGCCAUCUGUUGAUCUCACUCAUCUAGACAGAACAAAAGCAUUGCCUUCUGCCAAAUAUUUGAUUAAAAGGAUUACAAUUAGCUUUUCUGUUUCCACUGGGACUUCAACUGACAUGUUCUUGUCAUCUUAAACAAACCAGGCUUACAUCAAGAUUUCUGCUUUCCUAACACACCACUCAAAGAAAUGACCUUUGUGACAGAUGUUACUCUUGGAAACCUUCCUCUACAUCUAUUGCUCCUGGUCUGUAAUAGUGCAGUGCUGAAAAAGGAACCCUCUAUUUCGAGGAGUCGCCGUAUACAAAUUUACAAAACUUCCUUCCUGACGGUUAUUUCUACUCAUAACUAAACCUUCUUGUUAGCAAGAGCAAGUAGGGGUUCUCUAAGAUAUAUUUAGCUUCCCCAGAUUGAAUCUCUUUGCACUGCAAGGUUUCACUCUGAGAAUCUUUGUUCCAAUGAACUGAAAAAGGGAUACUGUACUGUUAAAUGGGUAGAUUGUGCAGGAAUAUCUGGUGUACUACAAGUAUGUUUGCAAGAGACCUGUUUCAUUAUUUCCUCACAUUUGCUAUGAAAGGGUUCAGGGUUACAAAAUUGAAUGCUCAUUCCACACAUCAUGACUCAUUAAUCCAUAAUCACUUUCAGCUGUAUUUUGUAAGGCUGUAUUUACUUUUUUCAAUAAAAAUAUAUGACAUAUCCAGCCUUAGCUACGGAGACUGUUCUUGAAUUUGGCUUUUCAUUCAAAAAAGCAUGGACUAAUUUGAACUUUUUGCUGUCUUUUUAGUAGGGUAAGUUGCAUUUGUACUGCUUUGUUUUCUUUUUUCGGCCUUGUUAUCUGUCCGAGUGUCUACAGUGUCUUGACUAUAGCACAUAGUCAAGAAUGCUACAUGAUUGCAUUCCAGGUGGAAAGAAGCUAGGUUUUAGUGGUGCCAGGAUAUUUUUUGUGCAGUUUGCUUACGCAGUUAGCCUCCUCACUUCCUUUUUGUGACCAUGCCACAAACUACAAAGGUUGUUCGAUAUAUUCAGAUAUUUCUAAGGAGGAAAUACCUUGAAGCAACAGGUAGAUAUAAACAAAAAAAAUCUUUCAUAUUGCACAGAACUUCAGUCCAGUCAGCUGGAAUUGGUUCAGUGUUUAUAUACCUGACAAAACAUUCUUGUUUCCCAGUAUGUACAUGUAGGUGUGAGUAUAAGCAUACACGUGUUCUAUGGUUUUAUUGUAUGCAUGUGCUUCAAGAAAUACUUUCAAUAGCAUAUAGGCCAUUUUGGUGUUAAAACCAAUGGAAAUGGAACAUUAUUCUUUUGAUAUCUGUUUUAGGAAAUAAUGAAAAUUAUGUAAAAAUAGAUGUCUGAACUUUUCUUCAUUUGCUGUUGUGUUGCCAAGAUGUUUCUCAGGAGAGCUGAAAGUUUAUGUACUUUGCAGUUAAUUUUCAUUAAAUUCUGAAAUAAUCA
This is a long non-coding RNA of Strigops habroptila (Kakapo), 1690 nucleotides long. RefSeq lists it as uncharacterized. Lineage: Eukaryota; Metazoa; Chordata; Aves; Psittaciformes; Psittacidae. The record is from RefSeq and is a predicted model, not a curated record. The transcript has 3 exons.